AAGUCGUAACAAGGUUUCCGUAGGUGAACCUGCGGAAGGAUCAUUAGUGAAUAAGCAAGUGCAGGUUGUGCUGGCCUUCUUGGUAUGUGCACGCCUGCCAAAGUUUCAUUCCAUCUUCCCACCUGUGCACUCUGUGUAGAUUCUGUAUGCUGUUGUCAAGCCUUUAUUGUGCUUGGUUGAGAGGAGUUGCUUGUUUUCACAAACAAGCUCUUCUUGGGCAUGCAGGUCUAUGUUUAUAUCAACACCAUAUGAAUGUUUUAGAAUGUGUAUCAGGCUUUUGGCCUUUAAAUUAUAUACAACUUUCAACAACGGAUCUCUUGGCUCUC
Molecule: unclassified non-coding RNA, 326 nt
Filed under: Pluteus exilis
Lineage: Eukaryota; Fungi; Basidiomycota; Agaricomycetes; Agaricales; Pluteaceae
Description: partial internal transcribed spacer region
Rfam family: Eukaryotic small subunit ribosomal RNA (bases 1-46)
Source: RNAcentral